Molecule: long non-coding RNA, 1305 nt
Filed under: Musa acuminata (dwarf banana)
Lineage: Eukaryota; Viridiplantae; Streptophyta; Magnoliopsida; Zingiberales; Musaceae
Description: long non-coding RNA (MACU_LNC004428)
Source: RNAcentral
UGCAUGUCAUUGUGCAAACAAUGGAAAGAUGAAUACCAGAGAAUUUGGAGUUCAAAACCCGAAGUUGCGAACAGUUUCUUCCAUUAUAUCAUCUAACAAGGAUUCACAUAUCAGAAUUGCGAUAUUCUCGGAUUCGAAUCGAAGGUCCAUCCAACCUCUGUCUUCCAAUUCCUUUCUUAUUGCUUGAUCUAAUGUGUUUGGCAGCUGUAUAUGAAGAUGCCUCUCGAGACAGUUGCUAACUUCUUGGAUUAAGCUUGCCCUUGAAGGGGUAGGCAGGAGAUUUGGUUGGAUGAGAGACAGCCAUUGGGUAUGCUUCGAAAACCUUUCCUGUGUCUCUACAAGGACUUCAUUCAUGCAAUCAAAGAGAAGCUUAGGAUCAUCUUGUAGGAAGCAAAAGAAGAUCCCUAUUUCAUCAAACAAAGAUGGAUCAAGUAACUGAUCUGCCGUAUCCCAUCUCUCUGAGAAUUCAUUAGCAAGGCCUGAGGCUUCCAAGACUACUUUAACAUAAUCGAACCUAGCUUGCUUGUCAUGAAGAUGAUCUCUUAAACUGUAGCUUACAUCUGGUGAUGCUAUAAUUCUUGAAUAGUUGUCAUAAUCUUCAUGAGUAACUUGUCGAUGUUGUGCUUCAAUGUCAUCUGCAGAAGGGCAACAAAUUCAGAUAAGUUUGUGCCAAAAGGCAGACCAAAGCCGUGUCAACAAAAAUCUUAAUGCUUCUUAAUAUUGCCAGAUCAUACAGUGCUCCACUGUAGUAGACUCAGCAGUGGUAGAAUAUUCUGAAAAGAGUGUUUCGAGAACAGAUACUGGACUUGGUUGCUCUAGUUUUUCAUUGGUGCUGGUGCUUUCUGGAGCCACUGAAUUUUCUCUGGUUAAGGAGCUUGGUGGGAGAGUGGACUCUGUCAAUGCUAGUAAAUUUCCUUCGGAUGAACCCUGGUAAAAUGAUAGUGCAGUUUUAAGGUAUCAAUAUACUUAGACCAAAUCUAAUUAUAUAUCUUGCGCUAUAAACUCACCAGUCCUUGUAUUGCUUCUUCUUCUUCUUCUUCUUCUUCACUUUUAUCUGCAGCAACUACUUCAUUUGUACUUAAGGCAUGACUUUGUAAAAUGCAUAAGAAGCUAAGAGGAUCUCAUUCAAAUAUAUCACAACCUACCUUUGUUGUUCAGGUCUUCUGUAAGGCAUGAUGGCUCUGAAAUAUUGGUAUCAACCACUUCUGUUUUUAGGAUGAGCAAAUUUGAUUCAUCACCUGGAAUGCUCAAGGAGCAAGAUGAGAACUCCAAGUUUGGUCUCUCGGGGCUUAAGUUAUUGGCAGC